AUGGAAUGAUGUGAGGGGGUAUUUCUGAGGAAAAAAUAAUGCAGUGAGUCACUUCGCUUACAUUUCUUCUCUUGAAAUCCUCCCUGUCCUUUCUCAACCUGUCUCUGCCAUGGAUGUGACUCAUCCAAAAGAGCCUUGAACUCUGUUCUGCUGUAAAAGCAGAACAGUCAUAUUGACAAGAAAUUGACUCUGCUGUAGUUUACCUUAACAGCAUCUGGCUCAGACACUCCUAAGCUUGUCUGAGAUACCAUGUUCAUGUCAUACUUUCCAGGGUUAUUGAAAUCUAGAGGAGAGACUGGAUCCUAUCCUGUUGUGGUGUAGCAGCAUCAGUGCACUGUUCAACAGCAGCUGUUCAGAACGUGACUGGCCAUUGCAACACUUCACCAUAUGUGACACCAUCAGACUAUCACUACCUGGAUCUCAGCAAUAAUUCUCUCUCAAAUACCCAGAAAUGUAAGUAUGAUGCACCUUGGCUCAUGAAGCCCUGCAAAUAUGUGUGGGAACAUUUCACAGAACAGAUGAUGUGUAAAGUACAAAAAUAGUACUAAU
This 549-nucleotide long non-coding RNA is filed under the name Phasianus colchicus (ring-necked pheasant). RNAcentral's name for it is "lncRNA (ENSPCLG00000004327.1)". The record is from RNAcentral. Lineage: Eukaryota; Metazoa; Chordata; Aves; Galliformes; Phasianidae.